AGUGAACGCUGGCGGUAGGCCUAACACAUGCAAGUCGAACGGCAGCACAGUAAGAGCUUGCUCUUACGGGUGGCGAGUGGCGGACGGGUGAGGAAUACAUCGGAAUCUACUUUUUCGUGGGGGAUAACGAAGGGAAACUUACGCUAAUACCGCAUACGACCUCCGGGGGAAAGCAGGGGAUCUUGGGACCUUGCGCGAUUGAAUGAGCCGAUGUCGGAUUAGCUAGUUGGCGGGGUAAAGGCCCACCAAGGCGACGAUCCGUAGCUGGUCUGAGAGGAUGAUCAGCCACACUGGAACUGAGACACGGUCCAGACUCCUACGGGAGGCAGCAGUGGGGAAUAUUGGACAAUGGGCGCAAGCCUGAUCCAGCCAUACCGCGUGGGUGAAGAAGGCCUUCGGGUUGUAAAGCCCUUUUGUUGGGAAAGAAAAGCAGCAGGUUAAUACCCCGCUGUUCUGACGGUACCCAAAGAAUAAGCACCGGCUAACUUCGUG
This 492-nucleotide ribosomal RNA is filed under the name uncultured bacterium. RNAcentral's name for it is "partial 16S ribosomal RNA". It matches the Rfam family "Bacterial small subunit ribosomal RNA", at positions 29 to 507 of the family's 1533-position model. The record is from RNAcentral.